RNAcentral lists this ribosomal RNA (206 nucleotides) under uncultured Eubacteriales bacterium. RNAcentral describes it as "uncultured Clostridiales bacterium partial 16S ribosomal RNA". It matches the Rfam family "Bacterial small subunit ribosomal RNA", at positions 568 to 774 of the family's 1533-position model. Lineage: Bacteria; Bacillati; Bacillota; Clostridia; Eubacteriales. The record is from RNAcentral.
UGAGUAGGCGGUUGUAUAUGUCAGGUGUAAAAGGCUAUGGCUUAACCAUGGUUCGCACUUGAAACUGUAUGACUUGAGUGCAGGAGAGGUAAGUGGAAUUCCUAGUGUAGCGGUGAAAUGCGUAGAUAUUAGGAGGAACACCAGUGGCGAAGGCGACUUACUGGACUGUAACUGACGCUGAGUCACGAAAGCGUGGGUAGCAAACA